AAUCCAUGCAUUGGACAUUUUUGAAUUAACUCUUUAAAUUGGUCCCAAGCUUCAUAUAGUGUUUCAUCCUCUGAUUUCCAAGAAGAUGCGAUGUCAUUUCUAAGCUU
Small nucleolar RNA from Gossypium raimondii (Peruvian cotton), 107 nucleotides. It matches the Rfam family "Plant small nucleolar RNA R71". From Rfam's summary of the family: R71 is a member of the C/D box family of snoRNAs containing the C (UGAUGA) and D (CUGA) box motifs. Multiple nearly identical copies of this snoRNA have been identified in Arabidopsis, and it is thought to function as a 2'-O-ribose methylation guide for 18S ribosomal RNA. The record is from Rfam. NCBI's taxonomy places the organism in Eukaryota, Viridiplantae, Streptophyta, Magnoliopsida, Malvales, Malvaceae.